Molecule: ribosomal RNA, 520 nt
Filed under: uncultured Glomus
Lineage: Eukaryota; Fungi; Glomeromycota; Glomeromycetes; Glomerales; Glomeraceae
Description: SSU rRNA
Rfam family: Eukaryotic small subunit ribosomal RNA
Source: RNAcentral
AGCAGCCGCGGUAAUUCCAGCUCCAAUAGCGUAUAUUAAAGUUGUUGCAGUUAAAAAGCUCGUAGUUGAAUUUCGGGAUCAGUUGAUCGGUCGUGCCUCGGUACGUACUGGUCAAAUUGAUUCCUACCUUCUGACGAACCACGAUGUCAUUAAUUUGGCGUCGCGGGAAAUCAGGACUGUUACUUUGAAAAAAUUAGAGUGUUUAAAGCAGGCUCGCGCUUGAAUACAUUAGCAUGGAAUAAUGAAAUAGGACGUUUGAUUCUAUUUUGUUGGUUUCUAGGAUCGACGUAAUGAUUAAUAGGGAUAGUUGGGGGCAUUAGUAUUCAAUUGUCAGAGGUGAAAUUCUUGGAUUUAUUGAAGACUAACUACUGCGAAAGCAUUUGCCAAGGAUGUUUUCAUUAAUCAAGAACGAAAGUUAGGGGAUCGAAGACGAUCAGAUACCGUCGUAGUCUUAACCAUAAACUAUGCCGACUAGGGAUCGGAUGAUGUUAAUUUUUAAUGACUCAUUCGGCGCCUUAAC